UUGUUUAUCAUUUCGAAAGUUAACGCCAUAUUUCAGCAACGCGAGAAGUCAUUGAGUAAUCUUUCACCAACCACAUCCAAAAUUUGCCUUCUCGAACCUAAUUUAUCAACUUUUAUAAUACAAUAAAAUGUUUUUUAUGAAUACACUAUACAGCCUACUAUACAAUACUUGGAAACAGCGAAAUAGGGCCCUUACAGAGCCGAGUGGACUAAUUUUCUGCAAUGUUCGGGACCCAAGAGGAUGAAUCUGACGAAUUCAACGGCAAACUUCGUUAAAGUCGAUAAUUCAUAUAUACUCUACAUGAAUUUAACGUUCCUGGAAACUGUCCACGUUGAUCAUAUAAAAGUAGACGUAUAUACAGUGAAAAAUAAAGUUAAAACUUUAUUAUGGCGUCACAAUGUUGAUGACCCGUGUAAAUACUUUGCUCUGGGAGAGGUGCUGUCCAAAUACUUUAGCGUGAACAAAAAUUGCAUGGUUAUUAAGGGCUACCAAAACAUCGUAGCAAAUAUGACGGAUAUGACAUACGCCUUUUAUGGGAAAUCGUUUUAUUAUGGCGAAUACAUAAUGAAAGGCGUAGCGUUUAGCAACAAAGGAAACCUUCUAUGCGUAAGCUUCAACAGCGUUUACAUUAAACUCUAAACUAAAUAAAUAAGUUCUAGAUUGUAAAUUUGUGCCUGGAGAAUGACGGUUUAGAAGCAGAUUAAAAUUACUCUGCUGCCGCCAUCGAAACUAUUACUUUUUACAAUAAAUAAAUAUUUACUAAUAUCAUUUUAUUUUUCAUUAACUAGCUGGAGGCAUCUUCUGUUCAUUACAAUAUAUAUAGAUGGCCAAAAUCAACCACUUGUACGACAGUGAAGUCUCUAUUUUAGAGUUUAAAAAUAUGCUAUAAUGAAAUAUGA
Long non-coding RNA from Plodia interpunctella (Indianmeal moth), 899 nucleotides. RefSeq lists it as uncharacterized. NCBI's taxonomy places the organism in Eukaryota, Metazoa, Arthropoda, Insecta, Lepidoptera, Pyralidae. The transcript has 4 exons. The record is from RefSeq and is a predicted model, not a curated record.